RNAcentral lists this ribosomal RNA (230 nucleotides) under uncultured bacterium. RNAcentral describes it as "partial 16S ribosomal RNA". It matches the Rfam family "Bacterial small subunit ribosomal RNA", at positions 524 to 753 of the family's 1533-position model. The record is from RNAcentral.
UACAGAGACUGCAAGCGUUAUUCGGAUUCACUGGGCGUAAAGGGUGCGCAGGCGGCCAAGUGUGUGAGGCGUGAAAGCCUGGAGCUUAACUCCAGAAUUGCACCUCAAACUACAUGGCUAGAGCAUUGGAGAGGGUAGCGGAAUUCACGGUGUAGCAGUGAAAUGCGUAGAUAUCGUGAGGAACACCAGAGGCGAAGGCGGCUACCUGGACAAUUGCUGACGCUCAGGCA